RNAcentral lists this ribosomal RNA (253 nucleotides) under uncultured bacterium. RNAcentral's name for it is "partial 16S ribosomal RNA". It matches the Rfam family "Bacterial small subunit ribosomal RNA", at positions 524 to 776 of the family's 1533-position model. The record is from RNAcentral.
GACGAAGGUGGCAAGCGUUAUUCGGAAUCACUAGGCGUAAAGCGAGUGUAGGUGGGUGCUUAAGUCCGCUGUGAAAUUUCCCGGCUUAACCGGGAAGGGUCAGUGGAAACUGGGCAUCUUGAGUUAGGCAGGGGGUACUGGAAUUCCCGGUGUAGCGUUGAAAUGCGUAGAUAUCGGGAGGAACACCAGUGGCGAAGGCGGGUACCUGGGCCUAUACUGACACUAAGACUCGAAAGCUAGGGGAGCAAACAGG